Long non-coding RNA from Brassica napus (rape), 1506 nucleotides. RefSeq lists it as uncharacterized. NCBI's taxonomy places the organism in Eukaryota, Viridiplantae, Streptophyta, Magnoliopsida, Brassicales, Brassicaceae. The transcript has 4 exons. The record is from RefSeq and is a predicted model, not a curated record.
CCAUCUAGCUCUACAAUCACUAAACGUUGUGUUUUCAAUUAGUGCUCGGAGAGUCUCUCUCUCUCUCUCUCGCGUCUCCACCCUUCCUCCAUUGCCAAUCUUUCGUCUUCCUCCUUCUUCUGGUGGGAGAUGAAGCAGUAACCGAUACCCCCUCAUAAAGCCCUCCUUAAUCAAUUACACACGAUUUUCAUUCAAUGCGAUCCUGGAGAGUGCAAGGCUGUGGAGGCUCUGCUAUAAAAAGACUGGCCGCUCCUCCUCCUCUGUUCAAGUUCGCCUCCUCCGAUUUUGGGAGGCCAGAUACGUCCGGCGUGGGGGAGAGCUUAUGAAAGUCGACAUGCUCCUUCUAGAUUCUCAGGCGACUAUGAUGCCGGCGAAGCUCACAGAGCAGUGGAAAUGGUUUGAUGGUAAAAUAUUAUAUCAGUUUAUGUACAGGGUCACUGUUUCUGUAAGUUGUUUUAAGCUCUUAGUUUUAAGUUUUAAUUUUGAUUCUUACACUAACCAAAUUUUGUUCUUGAUUCAUAUUAUUGUCUGUGAUGUUGUUGUGGUGAUGUUAAUUUAAAAUAUUUGGUUUAUGUUAGCAUUAAAGCGAAACAAUGCAUCAUCUCGCCCUGGAGAUCAUUGGUGUUGGGAAGAAGAAGCUUUAUGCAGCCAAGGUUGAACUUCAAGGAGUCGCAGGAGUUCAAGUCUGCCAAUGACGUUUCCCCUACCAUUACUCCCUUCUAUCUUGGCUGCAAAUAAGGGCUGUGUUUGAUCCAAUGGAAGGAUUAUAAUACUUUUACGCACUAGCUAUCUAUGGAAUGACCCGAGAGAGCAAAAUGAUGGAGCAUCAAGGAUCACAUAUGAUGUGGAGAUGAAAUGAGCUUAUUGCUAAGAACUCUGUUCUUCUUCCCACCUACUCAUUGACACGAAUCUAGGCUGCUGUUUCAUACCUGAUCUUGGGUCAUUUGUGAGAUUCAACAUGUUGGUAACAGAGCUACUUCGAUAGAUCCAUCAUCACCCGAUUGUACGACGAACAACAGCAAUAUCGACAGAAGCCUGAAAACAGAGAACAACAAAAACUCAAAUCUUUGAAGAGAAAUAGAGACAAGACAGGAAGUCACGUCCUUAUUGUUGACCAUCCUCACAAUGAUUCUGAGAUAUGAAGUUUCAAGCUCAUAUCCGAUGAGAAUCAAUGGAAGUCUAAGAAACCAAGAACAAAGAAAGAAAGAGUUGGUUCUUCAAAGAUCAGUUUCCAACAUUCAACUUCUUUGUAUGAUAGUGUCGAGCCAUAUGCAGAGGCAAUUGCACAUAUGAAAGAUAUAAUAUACAAAACGGCUGCGUUUAGACAGGUGAAUAUUCCAUUGUUGAAGAUAAUGGAUCAGAUGAACUUUAUGAAGACCAUUAUAACUUUUUACUUUUAAUUUUCGGACCCAAUAGUUUAUUUGGAGUUGUUAGUGUGUGCUUUUUCUAAGUCUUAAACUUUGGUUUGAACCGUCUGUUUAAUUAACGCAAGUCAUUCUCAACGAA